GUAAGUUUUAGAGAAUAUAUACCCAUCCUCACAGCAAAUAUUAGGAAUCUCCUGAUGUGAGCUGUUUGAGAGGUUGUCUCUGUCUCAAUAAAAGUUCACUGAUUCCCCCAUCUGCUGCAGGUGUCCGGUUGUCUUCAUUCUCCGCCAGCCUGGUUAAGUCAAUUCCUCCUUAACAUCUAAAAGAACCUAUUUAAUGAAGGAAGACGGGUUCACUUUGUGUUUAAUAUUAUUCUAUUGCUGUUGUUUUUUUUAUAUCCUUCAAUUGGCGUCACGAACAGGAUCCGCUCCAGGCCAAACUGGAACGGGUGGGAGGACAUCGGCCGUGGUCUGAGUGAACGGAGUUUGGACAAAAGCUGUGUGCACACAAAAACAAGUUGGGAUUCUGUGUGUGUAUGUGUGCUGGAGAAAUAAAAAAAAAAAAAGGGAAAAGGGUCUCUCUCUGUCUCUGUGAGAGGAAAAAGGUGGGGGCCGAGUGAGCCCGCGGGGCCGAGCGGGUCCGCGGGAGCGAGCGUGUAUGCUGUAUGAGGAAGAAGGGAGUGAGAGGGAGCGAGUGAAAAGAGUAAUCGAGUAUUUGGUGAUUUUUUUUUAUUAUUUCAGAGGCACUGGUGUCUUCAUACAGGUGUUUUUUCUUAACCUGGAAGCCUGAGUACGGCAGCAGAAGACAGGCC
This is a long non-coding RNA of Astatotilapia calliptera (eastern happy), 668 nucleotides long. NCBI's taxonomy places the organism in Eukaryota, Metazoa, Chordata, Actinopteri, Cichliformes, Cichlidae. The record is from Ensembl.